AGAACGAACGCUGGCGGCGCGUUUUAAGCAUGCAAGUCGGACGGCAAGGUUGGUAGCAAUAUCGACCCUAGAGUGGCGAACGGGUGAGUAACACGUAGGUGAUCUACCUCUGGAUGGGGGAUAGCCCGUGGAAACACGGGGUAAUACCGCAUGAGGCCUUGUGGGUGAAGCCAUGAGGUGAAAGGUGCAAUUGCAUCGUCUGGGGAUGAGCCUGCGGUCCAUUAGUUAGUUGGCGGGGUAACGGCCCACCAAGACGACGAUGGAUAGCCGGCCUGAGAGGGUGGACGGCCACACUGGAACUGAGACACGGUCCAGACUCCUACGGGAGGCAGCAGCUAAGAAUCUUCCGCAAUGGGGGAAACCCUGACGGAGCGACGCCGCGUGGAUGAUGAAGGCCGUAAGGUUGUAAAAUCCUUUUGUCGGUGAAGAAUAAGGGAGGGAGUGGAAAGCCCUCCUGAUGACGUUAGCCGAUGAAUAAGCCCCGGCUAAUUACGUGCCAGCAGCCGCGGUAAUACGUAUGGGGCAAGCGUUGUUCGGAUUUAUUGGGCGUAAAGGGCGUGUAGGCGGCUCAUCAAGUCUGGUGUGAAAUCGCAGGGCUUAACCCUGCAUAUGCGCUGGAAACUGGUGGGCUUGAGUUCUUGAGGGGAAGCUGGAAUUCCAGGUGUAGGGGUGAAUCUGUAGAUAUCUGGAAGAACACCGGUGGCGAAGGCGAGCUUCUAUCAGAGGACUGACGCUGAGGCGCGAAAGCGUGGGGGGCAAACAGGAUUAGAUACCCUGGUAGUCCACGCUGUAAACGAUGUGCACUAGGCGUGGGGCCCGUACGGGUUCUGUGCCGUAGUUAACGUGUUAAGUGCACCGCCUGGGG
This 865-nucleotide ribosomal RNA is filed under the name uncultured soil bacterium. RNAcentral's name for it is "bacterial SSU rRNA". It matches the Rfam family "Bacterial small subunit ribosomal RNA", at positions 26 to 878 of the family's 1533-position model. The record is from RNAcentral.